RNAcentral lists this ribosomal RNA (314 nucleotides) under Aeromonas hydrophila. RNAcentral describes it as "bacterial SSU rRNA". It matches the Rfam family "Bacterial small subunit ribosomal RNA", at positions 37 to 346 of the family's 1533-position model. Lineage: Bacteria; Pseudomonadati; Pseudomonadota; Gammaproteobacteria; Aeromonadales; Aeromonadaceae. The record is from RNAcentral.
UUGGGGGGGUGCUAAUACAUGCAAGUCGAGCGGCAGCGGGAAAGUAGCUUGCUACUUUUGCCGGCGAGCGGCGGACGGGUGAGUAAUGCCUGGGAAAUUGCCCAGUCGAGGGGGAUAACAGUUGGAAACGACUGCUAAUACCGCAUACGCCCUACGGGGGAAAGCAGGGGACCUUCGGGCCUUGCGCGAUUGGAUAUGCCCAGGUGGGAUUAGCUAGUUGGUGAGGUAAUGGCUCACCAAGGCGACGAUCCCUAGCUGGUCUGAGAGGAUGAUCAGCCACACUGGAACUGAGACACGGUCCAGCUCCUACGGGA